RNAcentral lists this long non-coding RNA (1015 nucleotides) under Triticum aestivum (bread wheat). RNAcentral's name for it is "long non-coding RNA (TAES_LNC023940)". Lineage: Eukaryota; Viridiplantae; Streptophyta; Magnoliopsida; Poales; Poaceae. The record is from RNAcentral.
AAUUUUACAGUAGAGAUUUAGCCGCCGAUGACCCACUACACGUGGAUGCGCGAAAUUCCAAAGCCAGUCCACUGCGAUCAAGGUGCUGGAGGCUCUUGGGGUUGCCGCUUGCAUGCUUGAAGAUAAAUUUUGUAGCCUCCCGUUGCAACGCAUAGACAUUUGUGCUAGGACUAAUAAAGCAAGGUGCGUUUCACCAAUUUUUUCAUCCGUUCACCAUAUAAAAUUAUUUUGUUCCGUACUUAUCCGAGGUGGUACUAAAAAAAUUGAUUCAAGAUGCAUCGCGCUAAAGAGUUGCAUAUGCUUCCUGCCGAUGGCACGUCGUCUUAUGGGCCUGCCCACAUGAGCCGCCUGACCUGAGUUUCACAUAAGCAUUAACAAUAAUAUAGUACCACCUCGAUUAUUUACAUGGAAUUGUAACAAUUUAUAUACCUAGGCAAAGUGCGAAUGACAGGAAGACGCAGGGACUUCGACCCGACCCGAGAAAGAAUCGAAUCAAGAUGAUUAACCACGGUGCCAUCCGACUUGCCAGGAAGUGAGGAGUCCGGGCGGCACCACCGGCCAGACCACGGUGGAGCCAUCCGACUUCCCGUGACAGGGCUCUGCUCGUGGCCCUCUGUCGAGAACGACCGACGGACGCAGCUGCGCGGCUUUGGCCCCGCAGAACGGCGACAGUCUGGUGGCACCAUGGUUGCUCGGUGAGCUCCUGCAAGGGAACAUGGCGGGUGAGAUAAGGGAGACGGAGAGAGAAGGGAGAGGCGGCGGAGACUCUGCUGUUCACAUGCGUGGCUGCGUGCUACACAUUGCAAAGCUAUACAGUGGUGCUCUGGCAACAGAACGCCUCAACGCCAUGAGGGGGCAUCCAGGAGAUCGACCUCACCCAGAUGCAAGAGAACCAUCUUGGGAGAGAGGCCUUUGAUGCCAAGAGGGUGGAGCCUUCAAACAUGCAUCAGAUCAAAAUUUGCCAUGCACCCGAACGAACUGAUAUGGAGGAACCAGAUCCAAUGCAAAGAGGACA